Long non-coding RNA from Anolis carolinensis (green anole), 965 nucleotides. RefSeq lists it as uncharacterized. The transcript has 4 exons. The record is from RefSeq and is a predicted model, not a curated record. Lineage: Eukaryota; Metazoa; Chordata; Lepidosauria; Squamata; Anolidae.
AUCAUUUCGGUCUUGUGAUUGAAUUUUUUUUCAACAUGUCGAUGAUUAGACCUUAUGGGAAGACAUCUACGAAAUAAAUAACUAACAAAUCGAUACUGCUGUCCUAUUCACCCGUUGUAUCGGUCGCUGACAAAUGGUCAUCUCGCUUUUUGUCAUUGAUACAGGCUGACCACCGAUCAACCGGCCAGACAUGCUGAUGGAUGCUGCUGAUGCUUUCAAAUCCCAGCAAAAUGUCACCCUGGUCCGUUCUGAGCUUUGGUUCCAAUCCUUCCCAGGCUUAUAUGCUGCAUCACAGCACUGACUCAAAGCUCAAGAUUGGCAGUAGUCCAGAGGGACUGAAUUUGGAAACUCCGACAUAGAAACAUGUUGUUCUUCUAUUUCACUUGGAUACACCUGUAAGAAUCCCAUUUGUGGAACAAUAGAGAUGCUGAUUGAGUCUUCUGCCUGAGAAACAGACACCCGUCAAGCAGAAAACAAAAGAAGAAUACGGCCAAGGAACUUCACAAUGUGCUCCAGGUUGCAAAAGUGAUGGAAAUGGGAGAGAAGGCAAGUGCAGACAGCCUGCAUCUCCUGGGAAAGGUGAGAGACUAACGUCUUAAAUGGGACUCUUUUCCAAAUUGUGAGAGUUGGAAAGAGCAGUAAAGAGCCUCAGUACAUUAUCCAACUGCAAAGAUGUCAGAAAGGGGGGAAUCCUUUUGAAUCCCACUGCUGCCACCAAUUUGUAAAGAACUCAGGCAGAGGGGAAUCUUUUUAAAAAUCCCACCUCUGACACCAAUUGCGGAGAUGUGGAGGAGUUCCUAUUAAUUAAUUAUAUUUAUAUUAUAUAUCUGCUGCCACCAAUAUAAAGAUGUUUUUAUUUAAAAGCUGCCACCAGAAGUAAAGAUGUUUAUAAUGCGGCCACCAGAUGUUAAGGGGAUUAUCAACUCUUGCCACCACUAUUGGAAGAUUUAGCCACUGGCUAUUUA